Long non-coding RNA from Hibiscus syriacus, 732 nucleotides. RefSeq lists it as uncharacterized. The record is from RefSeq and is a predicted model, not a curated record. NCBI's taxonomy places the organism in Eukaryota, Viridiplantae, Streptophyta, Magnoliopsida, Malvales, Malvaceae. The transcript is spliced from 2 exons.
UCUCUCCCUAAUAUCCCUUUCAUUUGGCUGCCGACCCCUCAACAAAACCCAAGCAACUGCUCCGAACGACGGAUUUUGGCGGCGGCUCACUCUCCAACCGUUACCUGAAGUAGCCGAGGAGGCCCAAAUGAAAUAAAGCCCCUUCUUUUUUCCCCCCUAAACUCUCUUUCUCUCAACCAAGCCCCAAAAACCAAAACUCCCUCGCGGAACCUUGGCCAUAAAUCGGCCUUCAUUCACUCCGACCACCAUGGGUAAACUUAGAAAAGAAGAACAAACACCUAAAAGCUACCACUCUUCUUCGUAAUCUCCCCAAAAACACCUGAAAUGCUAAAACAACACCCCCUAAACCAACAUGCAACCCUUUGGUUGGCACAAGGAUGCGACCUCAACUUCCCCCGCGGCUAUAAUACUGGCAACAACCUCAAACAACCAAGCUGGGGAGGGUCACUGGGUUGCAGUCGUGGAGCGUUGUGGAAGAAGAUUGAUUUGGAAGGGGGCUACAGCUGGUUCUGGCCUGUUCAUGCGUGGAGGCGGCGACUUGGGAGCAUGAGAUCCCUAGGUUUUUUCCAAAGUGUUUGUGAUUUUGUUGGGCUUUGGUUGGUGAGUUCAGGGUUUGUAAUGGAACAAAAAGAUGUAAUUUAAUUUGGGUUUGGAACAUUUGGGUAUGUAAAUGGACAUUUCAUUUGGACACUAGAAUUUGGGCAUUUGGGUAUCCAAUAAAAACGGUUUUAA